GUAGCCUACGGGGGGCAGCAGUGGGGAAUAUUGCACAAUGGGCGAAAGCCUGAUGCAGCAACGCCGCGUGAAGGAAGAAGGGUUUCGGCUCGUAAACUUCUAUCAACAGGGACGAAAGAAAUGACGGUACCUGAAUAAGAAGCCCCGGCUAAAUACGUGCCAGCAGCCGCGGUAAUACGUAGGGGGGAAGCGUUAUCCGGAAUUACUGGGUGUAAAGGGAGAGGAGGCGG
This 230-nucleotide ribosomal RNA is filed under the name uncultured bacterium. Its description in RNAcentral is "partial 16S ribosomal RNA". It matches the Rfam family "Bacterial small subunit ribosomal RNA", at positions 334 to 578 of the family's 1533-position model. The record is from RNAcentral.